RNAcentral lists this small nuclear RNA (24 nucleotides) under Arabidopsis thaliana (thale cress). RNAcentral's name for it is "snRNA_04897". The record is from RNAcentral. Lineage: Eukaryota; Viridiplantae; Streptophyta; Magnoliopsida; Brassicales; Brassicaceae.
UUUGGAUCGAUAGUAAUACGAAAC